AGCUCCUCAGUUCUUAGAUAAAUAAAAAUUGUCAAAUACCAGCUGUUAUCCUUCUGUAAAAAAUGCCUCCUUGUUUGUCAAAGUCAAUAAUGAGAGACGUCUACACCAUUUAUCCACAAAAGAAUAAUGUUGUACCACAAUACAACCAAUGAAUGCCUCCUUGUUUAUCAAAAUCAAUGAGAGACGUCUACACCAUUUAUGCACAAA
This is a long non-coding RNA of Xenia sp. Carnegie-2017, 207 nucleotides long. RefSeq lists it as uncharacterized. NCBI's taxonomy places the organism in Eukaryota, Metazoa, Cnidaria, Anthozoa, Malacalcyonacea, Xeniidae. The transcript is spliced from 2 exons. The record is from RefSeq and is a predicted model, not a curated record.